GGGGGCGUACUGGUUUCGACGGGGUCGUUGAGAUCAGGGAAGCGGGUAGAGGAUCCUCGUAGGCCUCUUUAAAAAACGGGGAACCGCUUAAUUGCGAAACAACCUACACUCGUAGCUGCUUAAACCAGUUACCGUCAGGCCAUCCGAUCUGCUGGAUGGAUCCCUGGCGUCAGACAGCAGACCUUACUCGUCGGCAGGUUAAAUGAGGCAACGGAUCAGGCAGCGCCUGGGGCUUGAUCUGUAUGAACAGGCUACCGGAUCACCAGCGCCUGUCAAUGGGCUCGGUGCCAGGGGAAUACUCCAAUCAUUGACUGCACCCGGAGAUGCUCUGGAGGAUAGGAUUUCGGACAGGGGUUCGACUCCCCUCGCCUCCACCA
Molecule: transfer-messenger RNA, 377 nt
Filed under: Clostridiales bacterium
Lineage: Bacteria; Bacillati; Bacillota; Clostridia; Eubacteriales
Also listed under: 1 other name
Rfam family: transfer-messenger RNA
About the family: Bacterial tmRNA, also known as 10Sa RNA or SsrA, is named for its dual tRNA and mRNA-like properties.
Source: RNAcentral